This is a long non-coding RNA of Zalophus californianus (California sea lion), 187 nucleotides long. RefSeq lists it as uncharacterized. NCBI's taxonomy places the organism in Eukaryota, Metazoa, Chordata, Mammalia, Carnivora, Otariidae. The transcript is spliced from 3 exons. The record is from RefSeq and is a predicted model, not a curated record.
GGCAGCCGCUUGACCAACUGAGCCACCCAGGCGGCCCUGAAGACCCAAAUGUGAACUGGUGGCACAAGGACAGGCGUCCUCGCAUCCCAGACUGUGGUGUUUUCCAUCUGGGGGUCUCCUCUGACACGAGAGGACCCUUCACGCAGGAGGGCCACUAUCACCACCAUCGUCACUGCCAGCGGGCAUU